UUUAUACAAAGUACUGUAUAUCAUCAUAAAUCAAGUGAUUUACAGAUUAAAGCUUCCAUUCGAUAUAACUCCAUUCUUUUGCUGGUGUGCUUUACCAUUAAAGCAAGUUUAGGCUCAUUGAAUUGAACAAUUUUGAAUAGUUUAUGGAGUACUUAAUAGUAACAAGAAUCAAAGUUGAUUAGUUCAUUUCAGUGACUGUUUGAUAUAAAUUUCUUCUUG
Molecule: long non-coding RNA, 219 nt
Filed under: Panax ginseng (ginseng)
Lineage: Eukaryota; Viridiplantae; Streptophyta; Magnoliopsida; Apiales; Araliaceae
Description: long non-coding RNA (PGIN_LNC004103)
Source: RNAcentral